CCAGGUGCCGGCUAUCCCGCGGCUCCCCCUGUUGGUUAAGGGCGCCCCCAGCAGCCUCCGUCCCCUCUGGAACCCUAGCCCCCAAAUCCCACAUCUCCCUCUCCCUCGCCCACUCUCUUCGCCCCGCGCGGGAUCGCCGCGUCACCACCGCUGCGUCGUCGUCACCACGACCAACGAGCUCUCCGCCGCGGGAGAACCUACCAGGAGCCCCGCGUCGUUCGUCCACACCGUCCUCGCUCGCAAGCCCGAGCCGCGGAGGUCGUCAUCGCCCGAUCGGGCAUCUUCCCCUGUUUCGGUCGCCGCCGUCCCGCCGCGUGGAGCCUCCCCGAGAAUACCAUCCGCCCCCUGGUGAGCUCCUCUCCCCAUCCCCCUCUUUUACUUGCUCGAUCCGUCACCGUAUCGUCGUCCUCGCAAGCCUGGCCGCCAUGGCCGACGCUUUGCGUCCGAGAGCAAGCCCGCCUGCCCAUCCCCGCGCCUUUGCUCCUCGCAGUGCGCCCAUAGCAGCUCCUCAUCGCGCCUUGCCUUGCGCUCGGCUGUGCCUCCACGCACGCGUCCGCCCCCGUGUUGCCGUGCUCCCGGCCGCCCCUGCGAGCCGCCACAGCCUGCUCCUGCGCUGCUGCUGCUACUUACUUCUCUACUUGUUGUUGCUAUGCGUUGCUACUAGCUCGGCUGCUGCAUCCUACUACUGUCGCUGCUUACUGUACUUUGUAGUUACUAGCUAGCUUCUCUAGUUUUACAAUGACUAACACUUUAGACAGUUCCUAAACGAUGGCUAACCAACUACUAACUUGGGCAAAAAUAAUAUGAGUAGAAAGUUUGCAUGACGAACUCCAUUUUAUUCCACUGGACCAAAUCCCUUCGAUGCCUGGAUUAAAUCCUAUCAAAAUCGCAAAAUGCUCUUUUUUGUUAAAAGGAAAUAGAAGUAACUCCUAGCUAGGUGCUCUGUGUGUGUAUUUUGUAGGUGUGUGUGAUGUAUGUACAGCGUGUGUGUGGCCGGUGUGCCCAUGUGUGUAGGGCUGCCCCAAAGCAGCGUGUGUGUGUGUGCUGUGUAGGUGUGUGUGUGUGUGAUAUUUGUGCAGCGUGUGAGUGUGUGUGGCCGAUGUGCCAUGUGUGUGGGGCUGCCCCAAAAUUAGUUUAGGUCUAGUUUAAUUAGAUGGAUUAGUUUCAGGAUUAUUUUUGCUUCUUAGCUAGUUUUAUUAGUGCUAAGUUACUCUAGUAGUAGAUGACAUGUAGGCCCUCUUUUUAAAUAAGUUAGGUUUAGAGUCUAUGACAUGUGGGCCACACAUCCCCUUUUGACUAGUCAAAUUGACUUAGUCAACCCGAAUUAGAAUAAUAUGUUAAUUCUAGAAAAUAAAUUAAACUUUAAAAAUCAAUAUAAAAUAAUCCGUAACUCGGAUGAAAAUACCAUGUACAUGAAAGUUGCUGAGAACGACGAGACGAAUUCAAAUACGCAGUCCGUUCGUUCGCCACACAUCCCUAGCAUAGCGAACACGCAACUUUCUCCCUCCGGUUCAUCUGCCCGAAAACGCGAAACACCGAGGAUACUUUCCCGGAUGUUUCCCCCCUUCGCUGGUAUCACAUAUCCUUGCGUUACGUCACCCUUAGCACAACGUAUUGCCGCGUCUUGCUUUGUGUUACAUUUGAUUGCUCUGUUAUUUAUUGUGUUCCCCCUCCGUUACUUCUUUUCGGUAGGCUUCGAGACCGUUGCCGAUACCCCUGUGAUCGGCUACAUCGACGAUGACCCCUCUCUCUUGUCAGAGCAACCAGGCAAGCCCCCUCUUUGAUCACCAGAUAUCGCCUACUCUUCUCUCUACUACUUGCAUUAGAGUAGUGUAGCAUGUUAUUGCUUUCCGUUAAUCCUAUUCUGAUGCAUAGCAUGUCUUUACUACUACUGUUGUUACCUUUACCUGCUAUCCUAAUGCUUAGUAUAGGAUGCUAGUGUUCCAUCAGUGGCCCUACAUUCUUGCUCGUCUGCCAUGCUAUACUACUGGGUCGUGAUCACUUCGGGAGGUGAUCACGGGCAUAUUCGAUAUACUUUAUACUGUUAAAUUACUUAUGAUACUGUUCGGAGUUAGGGGCUGAAGGGGCAGGUGGCUCCAUCCCGGUAGAGGUGGGCCUGAGUUCCCGACGGCCCCGACUGUUACUUUGUGGCGGAGCGACAGGGAAGUUGAGACCACCUAGGAGAGAGGUGGGCCUGACCCUGGUCGGCGUUCGCGGUUAUUUCAAGAUAACACAUUUAACGAGAUCUUGGUAUUUGAUCUGAGUCUGUCCACUGGCCUAUACGCACUAACCAUCUACGCGGGAACAAUUAUGGGCACUCGACGUCGUGGUAUCAGCCGAAGCCUUCGUGACGUCAGCGACUGAGCGGCGCGCGCCGGAUUGAACUGGAACGCCUGCUAGGCUAGGUCUGCUUCCGCCGCGUUCGCAACGUGCAGGUGUGCAAUGGGCGAUGGGCCCAGACCCAUGCGCCAUAGGAUUUAGACCGGCAUGUUGACCUCUCUGUUGUGCCUAGGUAGAGUUGCGACGUGUUGAUCUUCCGAGGCCAGGCAUGACCCAGAAAAGUGUGUCCGGCCAAAUGGGAUCGAGCGUGUCGGGUUAUGUGGUGCACCCCUACAGGGAAGUUAAUCUAUUCGAAUAGCCGUGAUCUUCGGUAACAGGACGACUUGAAGUUGUACCUUGACCUUAUGACAACUAGAACCAGAUACUUAAUAAAACACAUCCUUCCAAGUGCCAGAUACAACCGGUGAUCGCUCUCACAGGGCGGCGAAGGGAGGGUCAUCGGUUAGGAUUAUGCUAUGCGAUGCUACUUGGUGAACUUACCAUCUACUCUCUUCUCCUGCUACAAGAUGGAGGUUACCAGAAGCGUAGUCUUUGAUAGGACUAGCUAUCCCCCUCUUAUUCCGGCAUUAUGCAGUUCAGUCCACAUAUGAUACCCCUUUUUCCAUUUGAUACCAAUGCAUACAUAUGUAGUGUAGCUCCUUGCUUGUGAGUACUUUGGAUGAGUACUCACGGUUGCUUUGCUCCCCCUUUCCCCCCUUUCUGUACCCGGUUGUUGCGACCAGAUGAUGGAGUCCAGGAGCCAGAGGAUCCCGAGGAUGAUUCUACGUGGAGUUCGACUUCCAGGAGUAGUUUAGGAGGAUCCCAGGCAGGAGGCCUGCGCCUCUUUCGAUCUGUAUCCCAGUUUGUGCUAGCCUUUUUAAGGCAAACUUGUUUAACUUAUGUCUGUACUCAGAUAUUGUUGCUUCCGCUGACUCGUCUAUGAUCGAGCUCUUGUAUUCGAGCCCUCGAGGCCCCUGGCUUGUAAUAUGAUGCUUGUAUAACUUAUUUUAUUUGUAGAGUUGUGUUGUGAUAUCUUCUCGUGAGUCCUUGAUCUUGAUCGUACAUGUUUGCGUGUAUGAUUAGUGUAUGGUCAAAUCGGGGGCGUCACAAGUUGGUAUCAGAGCCGACUGCCUGUACGAAUCCCUCUUCCACACUCCUUUGCGAAAGUUGAGUCUAGUCGUUACAAAACUUUUACUAACAUGGCUGUGCGCCUUACGGGCCCACGUCGCCAUUGGGUGGUAUUAGGAUCUUUUACUCCUUGUCUAUACUCUGGGACUCUGAUCUCUCUUCUAUUCGGGUUAAAUGAAUUUUGCUAAAUCUAACAUUAGGAGCUCGUCAUCACUUUCACCCGGAGAGCCUUUUAUUACUGAUGAUCGUCUGCUGCACGUGAAGACCCUGAAGAUACGCUUCGCUGUUAACCCGAGAACUUGUGUUCAUCGCGUUUGCAAUUCCCCUUUCACCGUCAACCCUUAUGGAUAACUACUUGCAGUUGUUAUUCUUACAUUCAUCCCCAGUUGGUCUUGUUAUUACAAGAUACCCCGAAAUACUCGUCGUUGUUUUGAUAAUCCUUUGAGCUUACUGCCUUGCUGUUCUUUGUCACCUGAAUAACCCUAUGGAUAAUUCUCGCACUUAUCGAGUAUCCGCUCACCCCCAGUUGUUCAUGUGUUUCACAAUGGUCUUCGAAAUACUAUUCGGUCCUCCAAGAAUCCUUAGUAGCUUAUUGCUCUGCAAUACUUGUCUGCUUGCAUUUUGGAUGCUUUCCAUAUGUCUGGCAAUAUUUGUUAGUAUCCUUAGACACCGUAAUUUUGAUCCUAAUGAUUCAACAUGAGUGCGAAUGCACGCAAUUAUCAGUUGAUCCUUUUAAAUUAUCUUUCUGGCUCAGACAUCGUUUUUGAACAUGAGCUUGUUCUUGACCAAUCUGUUUGCCGUCAAUUGUACCCUUAGGUCUAUUGAACUUAUCCACCCUUGAUCAGAGCGUCUACUUCUGAUCCUUCUAUUUGGGAAUCAUAAUUCCUUUGAUAACUAAGCAUCAAAUCAUUCAGGUGUUCUAUAAUCUGAGGCCCUUGCAUCCUAUCUUCAACUGAUUGUGUGCCGAUGCUCACAUCAGCUCUGCUAUGGACCGUCAGAUCCUUUAUUGGUUUACCAUUCAAAAGUGUCAUCCUUAUUCAAUAAGCUUGUGAGCCUUUCCUCGGAUACAUAAUGCUUUUGGUGAAUUGUAUCCUCUGUUUUCUUAACCAUGCUCUGUUUUCGAGCUGGUGGUAUUUACGAUUGAAGCUUGUGGUAUAUGAUUCCACGAUACCCUGACGGGUUGAACCUAUGCGUUUCUUAAUCUGUGUGAACCCGAAAGUUUUUCACGGGUCAUGCUCCUCUGGUAAUUCACCAGGUAGGUUUUUGACACUGAAAUCAUUUUUAACUAGAGCAGUGAAUGAAAGUUAUUGCAUUGAAGGAGUGGGAGUCGAUCUUGAACCUUGCGUUCAUGCCCAUGGACACGAUGUAGAUCUUAUCAUUAAAGCUUCUCUUAAAUUAAUUAUUCCUUUGGUAUAAGUUCAUCUUAUAUCUGGGAUCUGACCUUUUGCAAUCGUGGUUUCGACCAUGUUCUCCUUUAAAUACCAUUUCUCGUGCAAAUUUAAGCACUUGUCUUCUGCGGAGUAAUACCCUAGUCCAACCUCUACUUUGAUUUGUCGUCGAGUAUUACCCCCCUGGUAUCUCAAGAUUAUUAUGGAACUGCAUAACUUCUUAUGAGUUCUUCAUCAAGUGCUACAUUCUCAUUGAUUCCAAUUUUUCAUAGGUUCUGAGUUGUUAGUCGUUCAAGAACACCGGUAAGUGAACCGAUUCCGCACUCUGGUUCGAUAACUCUAAGUAAGCUUCAUUGCUUAUGAGUUUAAUAAUCCUUCAAGUCAUUCCAAGCCUGAUCGGCUAUAUCAUUAUCGUGCUAAAUUUUAACUGUGCUACCCGGUCCUUAAUCCCGGAGCACAACUUUCGAUAUGAGCUAAGCUUACGUCGACUUUCCACGUUAGAUCUUUUUGCCUUGAACAACAAGCUGGAUUCCGAGUUUGUGGCGUACUCGUGGUUCCAAUAACUUUUUGCUUCAUCAUUCCUUUGACUUGAUGUCAUCGCCGACCGAUUACAUCUCCAUGAAACCUCUCGACAGAAUUUUUCAUGAUCAUCAUCACCAUUCUUUUCUUGGUCCCCGUGUUGUUUCUAAUCAGAAUACCGACAAAUGGUCUGUGAUGUGUAAAUUCUAAACUUCUAGCAACCCUAUUGCUUUGAAGUUAUUGGUCUAUAGUUUCAUGCUACGUCUAUGGCUUAUUGAAUCAUCAUUCGAACAUUGAUCGUGCUACCUAGCCCAUAUUUCGGGUGCGCAUUUCAACCAAUGUUUAACUGUGUAUGUUUUCCUUGAGCAUACAUCAUUAAGUCAUUUGAUCUAGCUUAUGUUAUCUCCUUGUUCACAUAGUUGUGGAAAUCCAUCUUUUUGGAAAUCUCAAUGGAUUGUCGCUGAGUCAAUCAGUCACCUCCUCACCUCUCCUUGAUUUAAUGGUGAACCCUUGUUCGGAACUCGCUUCCAUAGUUCAUUUCCCGACAACCUUACAAUGUCAUCUCGACAAUUUGUGUUGCAUCUUUCUUCUCAAGCAUCCUAAGUCUGAGUUAUCCUGACACCAAUCAGAUCUGAAUCUCGGUCAGAUAUGAUGGUUGGAACAUAUUUCCAGGAGUUAUAACAUCUUUAUAUGACCCGGUAAGGUGAUGUCAUGCCUAGCACACCUGGCCGGAGGACUUAUGGUUAUAGUUCAUCCUUUUUAGCAAGGUUAUCCAUUCUUCCCUGAGGAAAUUGUAAGGCUUAUUCUACAAGUUGUUCCUGAUGGAUCCCUUGAGUAUCCAAAAUCCGACCUUUGCCUGUUGACCAUGUCCAUGCUAUCUCGAAGCAUGUCUGUGGUACUCCGAUUUUCAAUAAGAGCAUUUUAAGCACAAUGCUAAAUUCUCUUUAUCAAUUAUCCAAACACCGUUGUAUGGGUAAUCUCAUGAAAUUUCUCUCCCCUUUCCUAAAGGGUUUUCUACGUUAUAUCCUGUCAUGGCUAUCAUGCUCUGUUUGUCCUUGGGAAGGAUAUACCCCCUGAAAUUUGUGUUUAAACACAUUUUCCUUUCCAUUGUUCUGUUUAAUAUGAGGAUCACCUUUUCCUUUCCAUUGUUUUGUUUACCCUUUCUGAUGACCUAUAUGAUCUAAGCAGUAAUGUUCUUUUGUUUAUGUAAACACCUUGGUGUACAACCGUGUCAGUAAGACCCUGUUGCUUUUGUUGAUAGCAUUCCGGUAACCACCGAUGGACGAGAACUUUGCCUAAUGGUCCGCCUCGUUCAAUGAGCAGGAAAAUGGUUCUCUUCGUCCCUCGCCCUUGGUAUCGACAUUGUUGCCAACAUAACUGAUAGGCUACCCUCUGACAUGUCUUGCUAUCAUGACCGUGCAAGAUGUCAAUAUCCUUCCUACUUUUAACCACAUGGUGGGCCCAUAACCCAUAGUUCCACAUGAUCGAAACCUAACUCUCAUGUACAUCCCUGUUUCGAAGUUAUCCCUUGCACUUCGUUUCGUAUGUAAUUCGCGAGCCACCCUCCUAGUGAUCAAUUCUGGUAUCGGACACAAUACUUAUUCUCGUUGCUCUGAACCCCUUUCACACUCUGAUUCAGGCAAUAAACGAUUGCCUAUCCGCUCGAAACUUCUUAUUGCACCGUCUUACUUGCUCUCGAUGUUUUCUUAAGUUGCAAUUCGAGAGUUACUUUCCGCCACCUUCCCUGGUGUUAUCUACCGGCUAAGCAACCUUGUAGAGGCAUGUUCUUCCGAAGUUACCCCUUAGCAUUAUCGUAAGUACGGCGGAGUUCCUGAAGAAAGGACGACAACCUCAUCAUGAUGCAUUGAUGCAUAGGAAUGAAGACAUCAGCACUAUGGAUCGACCACUUCGAGAAGAGCAACCAAGACCGAGAAGAUCUGUUAGCAUUUCGUAACUAGACCUUCCCCCCCCCCCUUCUCAACCUCUUAAAUCUCGGGACGAGAUUUCUUGUAGUGGAGGAGAAUUGUGACGCCCGGAUAAUUUAGCUACAGUGACCCUCCACUAAUGAUGCCAAGUCAUCACUACUAUGCCCUAAGAAAAACAAUUCAGAAAUAUUUCAAACCAAAUUCAAAUUUAAAGUAAAGUCAAACAAUAAAUAUUUUCCAAAUGUCAAAACAAAAAUGUUCGCGUUAUUCUAUAAAUUCCUCUGAUCAUUGAAAUGUUGAAACCAACUUCAUCUGGGUCACAAAUAAAUUCUUAGGAAAUUAAUAAGUGGUCCAGCAGCAAAUAAAAUGGUCUUUUCAAAAUAAACGAUUAUUCAUACAAUUCAAGUUGACCUCAAACUUUGUGAGUCUCUUCAAAAUAUUGCAUAGAAUUUAGGUGCCAAUUUGUAACAUUUAACAAAAAUCACUUAGUUGCUAAAUUUAAUAAAAGUAAAGAAUAAAAUAGAAAAAUAGAAUACAAAACCUAACUACUGUUGGGCUGGACCUCAAGUGUGCAGGAGCAGGCCCAGUCCAACUGGGGUCAUCCCCAAUCUCGCUAUAGGAGCAGGGAGCCGUGGCGGGCAUCCAUGGCGCCCCAGCCAGGUGUCGGCUAUCCCGCGGCUCCCCCUGUUGGUUAAGGGCGCCCCCAGCAGGCUCCGUCCCCUCUGGAACCCUAGCCCCCAAAUCCCCCAUCUCCCUCUCCCUCGCCCGCUCUCUUCGCCCCGCGCGGGAUCGCCGCGUCACCACCGCUGCGUCGUCGUCACCACGACCAACGAGCUCUCCGCCGCGGGAGAACCUACCAGGAGCCCCGCGUCGUUCGUCCACACCGUCCUCGCCCGCAAGCUCGAGCCGCGGAGGUCGUCAUCGCCCGAUCGGGCAUCUUCCCCUGUUUCGGUCGCUGCCGUCUCGCCGCGUCGUUCAGCUCCUCCGGUCCUCCCCGAGCCUCUCCGGCCUGUCCCCGGCCUCCCCGAGAAUACCAUCCGCCCCCUGGUGAGCUCCUCUCCCCAUCCCCCUCUUUUACUUGCUCGAUCCGUCACCGUAUUGUCGUCCUCGCAAGCCUGGCCGCCAUGGCC
This 8409-nucleotide long non-coding RNA is filed under the name Triticum aestivum (bread wheat). RNAcentral's name for it is "long non-coding RNA (TAES_LNC020777)". The record is from RNAcentral. Lineage: Eukaryota; Viridiplantae; Streptophyta; Magnoliopsida; Poales; Poaceae.